UAGGGAAUCUUCGGCAAUGGGGGCAACCCUGACCGAGCAACGCCGCGUGAGUGAAGAAGGUUUUCGGAUCGUAAAGCUCUGUUGUAAGAGAAGAACGUGUGUGAGAGUGGAAAGUUCACACAGUGACGGUAGCUUACCAGAAAGGGACGGCUAACUACGUACCAG
RNAcentral lists this ribosomal RNA (165 nucleotides) under uncultured bacterium. RNAcentral's name for it is "partial 16S rRNA". It matches the Rfam family "Bacterial small subunit ribosomal RNA", at positions 355 to 511 of the family's 1533-position model. The record is from RNAcentral.